RNA transcript from Hippocampus zosterae (dwarf seahorse), 792 nucleotides. It is a transcript of the gene named box C/D snoRNA protein 1-like, with no coding region annotated. The record is from RefSeq and is a predicted model, not a curated record. Lineage: Eukaryota; Metazoa; Chordata; Actinopteri; Syngnathiformes; Syngnathidae. The transcript is spliced from 6 exons.
GGAAUUUAAACAGGAUGUGGCGUCACAACCACAACAAACCGCAUGCUCGCGUGGUCACCGCGGAAGAAGUUUUCCUUUCACUAAAGUGGCUAUUCGUCAUGUAAUGUAUCGCGGAGUCUCUCCAUCGAUGCAUAGAAUGUCAUUUGAGGAGACUGCAACGGAGAGUAAAAGUCAAGGCGACGAGAUGAAGGGGGCGAAAAGAAAGAUUUCUCUGUCGAAUUGUGGGGUCUGUGGCUUUGGAGAGGCCAAGUACAAGUGCCCCGCCUGCCUCACACAUUCAUGCAGUUUGUUUUGCGUGAAGAAACACAAGGAAGAAUCAAGAUGCAGUGGUGUCAGAAACAAAACCGCCUUCCUCAACCUCUCUCAAUUUGAUGAAAUGACUCUCCUCAGUGACUACAGGUUUCUGGAGGAUACAGGAAGGUUUGCUGGUGGUGCCCAGAGGGACGGUCUCCUUCAUGUUCGUCAUACUUCGAUGAAAAUCCUGUGAACCUUGUUAAAGCAAACAUACUCGUGAUAUUUUAAGGCGAGGAUUCAUCAAUACUUGCAUUUUGACUGCUUCAGGCAAGGCAAGGGCAAGGCAAAGAAGCUGAUAGUUAAUGCCAGAAAGAUGAACAUCACAUUGAGAACCCUCCCCAGCACCUUUACCAAGAGUAAGGAAAACUCCACCAUCUUCAAUUCAAGGUAAGAAGGCACUCACACUGAUAAGCAUACCAUUCUUUUCAUACAGAGGAAUUUGACACACUGGUGCAGCGUUUACAGUAUUUGUGAGGGUGUGUGCUGAGGUUUAACAGG